UGCCUUGUUGUUGUUGUUG
Molecule: ribosomal RNA, 19 nt
Filed under: Trichogramma chilonis
Lineage: Eukaryota; Metazoa; Arthropoda; Insecta; Hymenoptera; Trichogrammatidae
Description: partial 28S ribosomal RNA
Source: RNAcentral